UACGAGGGGGGCGAGCGUUGUUCGGAAUUAUUGGGCGUAAAGGGUGCGUAGGCGGUUUGGUAAGUCUGAUGUGAAAUCUAUGGGCUCAACUCAUAGUCUGCAUCGGAAACUGCCGGGCUUGAGUGUGGGAGAGGUGAGUGGAAUUCCUGGUGUAGCGGUGAAAUGCGUAGAUAUCAGGCGGAACACCUGUGGCGAAAGCGGCUCACUGGACCAUAACUGACGCUGAUGCACGAAAGCUAGGGGAGCAAACAGG
RNAcentral lists this ribosomal RNA (253 nucleotides) under uncultured bacterium. RNAcentral's name for it is "partial 16S ribosomal RNA". It matches the Rfam family "Bacterial small subunit ribosomal RNA", at positions 524 to 776 of the family's 1533-position model. The record is from RNAcentral.